Molecule: ribosomal RNA, 486 nt
Filed under: uncultured Herminiimonas sp.
Lineage: Bacteria; Pseudomonadati; Pseudomonadota; Betaproteobacteria; Burkholderiales; Oxalobacteraceae
Description: partial 16S ribosomal RNA
Source: RNAcentral
CACGUAGUUAGCCGGUGCUUAUUCUUCAGGUACCGUCAUUAGCAAAGGAUAUUAGCCCUCACCGUUUCUUCCCUGACAAAAGAGCUUUACAACCCGAAGGCCUUCUUCACUCACGCGGCAUUGCUGGAUCAGGGUUGCCCCCAUUGUCCAAAAUUCCCCACUGCUGCCUCCCGUAGGAGUCUGGACCGUGUCUCAGUUCCAGUGUGGCUGGUCGUCCUCUCAGACCAGCUACUGAUCGAUGCCUUGGUAGGCCUUUACCCCACCAACUAGCUAAUCAGAUAUCGGCCGCUCCAUGAGCAUGAGGUCUUGCGAUCCCCCACUUUCAUCCGUAGAUCGUAUGCGGUAUUAGCGCAACUUUCGCUGCGUUAUCCCCCACUCUAGGGUACGUUCCGAUAUAUUACUCACCCGUUCGCCACUCGCCACCAGGAGCAAGCUCCCGUGCUGCCGUUCGACUUGCAUGUGUAAGGCAUGCCGCCAGCGUUCAAU